This 45-nucleotide non-coding RNA is filed under the name Schistosoma margrebowiei. Lineage: Eukaryota; Metazoa; Platyhelminthes; Trematoda; Strigeidida; Schistosomatidae. The record is from RNAcentral.
ACUUAGCUGACAAGUUCAAAAUAGGACGAAACACGCGCCCUGGAU